CAAAAAGCCAGAAAUUAUGGAUCUUUAAGUGUUAUAUUUUUGGUGAAACACUCUAUGUAUCGCCUUUUUCCAUCCAACACCAUUGUCCUCAAGCUUCAAAACCAAAAUGUGCAAUUCACAGUCAAAGAAACCAAAAUGGAAGAAAUAUUCCUAUUAAUAUCACCCAUUAAGAAGGAAAGGCCUCAGCUGUGUUUCUCUGCAGUCCAAGGAUUCCCUUUUCGCCACUCUGCGGUAGAACUUUGCGUUCUCCGAUAUUAAGGUAGCGGAACCCUUGGAGAAACAACCCACUAGUAGAUGCUUCAAAUGAACUACCUGGGCAAAGAACACGUAAUGGCAUGAGAGUUUGUGAACUAAUAGGCCCAACAGCAUUGGCUCAUCCAUAACAAAGCAGUGGGCGUUCUAGUGAAACCAGCGACAGAUUAUGAUGUACCACAAUAAAUGACAGAUUCUUAUUUGCCAAGACCAAAUAUGUGAUCUCGGAAUAGGUCUUCCAAAUCAAAGAUAUUGUUAUCCAUGCUGCAAGGAUUCCGACAGGGAUAAGUUCUACCACCACUACUGCCAAGAAUGGAUGGUAAUUGCAUGAAAUCGAUAGAAAAACCUCAAACAGGAGCUCCCAUGGUGCUUGCAAAACCAUCCUUAGAGCCACUGCUUGAAGCUGUACAAUCAUGGAGUCCAAUAUGAUUAACAGCUGGUAAUGGCAAAUUUGCAGUGUUAACGGUAGGACCUACUUGACUGGAUUCAACCAAUUGCUCGCUCAUUAACUCUUCCAGAUCAUACUUAACAUUAUUGACCGGAGGAAUGUACAUUCCGGAGCCACCAACAACUGAUGGUUGCAAGUUAUGCGAUGGAGAUGUCCAAGUGUCAACCCCAUGACACACUCCAGAGGUGCCUCUUAUGCCGGUACAACGAGUUGGUCUUCUAUGUUUUGCAGGAACACAACCAUGCCAGGAAAUGUACUAUUGAACUCACUACCAACAGCAGCACCAAGCAGGAAUUUCUCAGGGUUAACAGCCGAUGGUCCUUUAAUAGCAUCAGCCGUGCAGUUUGUAAGUGGCCCUAGUAAAGGUAACAUCCCUGUGUCGAAAGCUUCAGUCACAUAGUCGGUGAUUGGCCACUGUAAUUGUCCUCCACAAGUUCCUUUCAACUCGUCAGAAUUUUGUCCUUGUCAAGGUUCAGUAAUAUCAGCAACGCUAUUGGCAUCAUGUUGUUUCUCCAGGGGUUGGCAUAUAUGGAAAGGGUGAUUGGUGGUCUAUAUCGAGGAAGUUUGUGUUAUCUAGAACACCAAUACAGGUGGCAAGCCUUGUCCAGAAGUUCUACACUCGAUUCAAUGACAAUAACAACGCCGACAAGAGAAGAAGCAUUCAUGAUGUCUCUAGUGCUGCUGAUAUUACUGAACCUUCACAAGGACAAAAAUCAGACAAGUUGAAAGGACCUUGUGGAGGACAAUUACAGUGUCCAAUCACCAACUAUGUCACCGAAGCUCUCUACACAGCGAUGCUAUCUUUACCAGGGCCAGUUAAAACUGCACGACUGAUGCUAUUGAAGGGCCAUCAGCUGUUAACUCGGAGAAAUUCCGGCUUGGUGUUGCUGUUGGUAGUGUGUUGAAUAGUUCAUUUCUCGGUGUGGUUGAGUUUCUGCGAAGCAUAGAAGGCCAAAUCGUCAUACCGGCAGAGGGCAGUUCUGGAGUGUGUUGUGGAGUUUAAUCUAGGACAUCUCCAUCACCUAGUUUGCAAUCAUCGGUUGCUGAUGGCUCUUGAAUGUACAUUUCUCCUGUCAAUAAUGUUAGUUAUGAUCCGGAAGAGCUAAUCCAGUCAAGUAGGUCCUACCGUUAACACUGCAAGUUUGCCAAUACCAACUGCUAAUUGUAUUGGAGUCCAUGGUUGUACAACUUCAAGCAGAGGCUCUAAGGAUGGUUUUACAAGCACCAUGGGAGCUCUUGUUGGAGUUUUUUCUGUCGAUUCCAUGCAAUUACCAUCCAUUCCUGACAAUAGUGGUGGUGGAACUUAUCCCGUUGGAAUCCUAGCAGCAUGGAUGACAAUAUCUUUGAUUUGGAAGACCUAUUCCCAGAUCACAUAUUAGGUCUUGGCAAAUAAGAAUCUGUCGUUAUUUUGGUAAAUGAUAAUCUGUCCCUGGUUUCACUAGAGCGAUUACUGCUUUGCUGUGGAUGAGCCAAUGCAGUUGGGCCCUAUUACUUCACGAACUUUCAUGCCAUUACGCAUUCCUUAUCUAGCUGGUUCAUUUGCGGCAUCUUCUAGUGGAUUGUUCGUCGUGUCCUAUUAGAUAUGUCUCUAUUUGUGUAUAUAGUGUGUGGAAUAGCAAACUUCGUCAGUAAGUUAUGUACAUAGGAACUCCUUUCUGUAAUUUGGUGUGCAAGCAUGCCUUUAAACUACUUGUUCAUAAAUAAAAAACAUGCUUUGGUAGUGUUGAAUUUUA
This is a long non-coding RNA of Capsicum annuum, 2433 nucleotides long. RefSeq lists it as uncharacterized. The transcript has 3 exons. The record is from RefSeq and is a predicted model, not a curated record. NCBI's taxonomy places the organism in Eukaryota, Viridiplantae, Streptophyta, Magnoliopsida, Solanales, Solanaceae.